CAGGAUAAAGGCAAGAUAACGGAGACACGCGAGGACGAGAACUGAGCGGUCGGACCAACAAAGACUGAGGGAACAACACAAACUAACGAGGGGACGAGGUGCAGGUGGAGCGAGGCAGCGCAGAAACACAGGGCUUGCAAAGGGAAUGCGACAUGUCAGGCCAAAUACUGCUCAAACAACAGAAUAAUUACAGCAGCAUGGGUAACAGCAGGGGGGCAGGCAUGACCUCCCCCCCUCCCAACACAACACAAAACACCAGCAGAAAGAUCAGCGGCUCCUCUGAUGAGGUGGCAUAAACUCAAGAAACAAGGCAUGAACCCGACAGGAAUGUGUUAACUGGGCUGGUGCAUGAAAAUAAUUUUCAGCCCUAUGAGGGUCAGUCUUCAACAUGCAGCAGCAAUCGUUCCAGCUCCCAGCAGCCAUCCGAUAAGGUAUUAAAACAUUUUUUAAAAAGAAGGAUUUUGAUCUCCUCUUCAUCUUAUCUGCUUUGGCACUGCAGUCCUGGCAUUCUGUUUGAAGUGUGUAAAGCAAAUCUUGCAGCAAAGUAAUUGUUGCAGCCUCACACAGUCCUGAGGAAGAUUUUCAUUG
Acanthopagrus latus (yellowfin seabream) is the source of this 588-nucleotide long non-coding RNA. RefSeq lists it as uncharacterized. The record is from RefSeq and is a predicted model, not a curated record. Lineage: Eukaryota; Metazoa; Chordata; Actinopteri; Spariformes; Sparidae. The transcript has 3 exons.